UCUGCGAUUACUAGCGACUCCGACUUCACGUAGUCGAAUUGCAGACUACGAUCCGAACUGAGACUGGCUUUAAGGGAUUCGCUUACCCUCACGGGUUCGCCUCUCUCUGUACCAGCCAUUGUAGCAUGCGUGAAGCCCAAGACAUAAAGGGCAUGAUGAUUUGACGUCAUCCCCACCUUCCUCCGAGUUGACCCCGGCAGUCUCCUAUGAGUUCCCACCAUCACGUGCUGGCAACAUAGAACGAGGGUUGCGCUCGUUGCGGGACUUAACCCAACAUCUCACGACACGAGCUGACGACAACCAUGCACCACCUGUACACCAGCUCCAAAGAGAAGAACUGUUUCCAGAACGGUCCAGUGUAUGUCAAGCCUUGGUAAGGUUCUUCGCGUUGCAUCGAAUUAAUCCGCAUGCUCCGCCGCUUGUGCGGGCCCCCGUCAAUUCCUUUGAGUUUUAGCCUUGCGACCGUACUCCCCAGGCGGGGCACUUAAUGCGUUAGCUACGGCGCGGAGAACGUGGAAUGUCCCCCACACCUAGUGCCCAACGUUUACGGCAUGGACUACCAGGGUAUCUAAUCCUGUUCGCUCCCCAUGCUUUCGCUCCUCAGUGUCAGUUACAGCCCAGAGUCCCGCCUUCGCCACCGGUGUUCCUCCUGAUAUCUGCGCAUUUCACCGCUACACCAGGAAUUCCAGACUCCCCUACUGCACUCUAGUCAGCCCGUACCCACUGCACGCGCAACGUUAAGCGUUGCGUUUCCACAGCAGACGUGACCAACCACCUACGAGCUCUUUACGCCCAAUAAUUCCGGACAACGCUCGUACCCUACGUAUUACCGCGGCUGCUGGCACGUAGUUAGCCGGUACUUCUUCUGCAGGUACCGUCACUUUCGCUUCUUCCCUGCUGAAAGCGGUUACAACCCGAAGGCCGUCAUCCCGCACGCUGCGUCGCUGCAUCAGGGUUUCCCCAUUGGGC
Molecule: ribosomal RNA, 969 nt
Filed under: Brevibacterium permense
Lineage: Bacteria; Bacillati; Actinomycetota; Actinomycetes; Micrococcales; Brevibacteriaceae
Description: partial 16S ribosomal RNA
Source: RNAcentral